UACGUAGGGUGCGAGCGUUAAUCGGAAUUACUGGGCGUAAAGGGCUCGUAGACGGCCAACUAAGUCAGACGUGAAAUCCCUCGGCUUAACCGGGGAACUGCAUCUGAUACUGGAUGGCUUGAGUUCGGGAGAGGGAUGCGGAAUUCCAGGUGUAGCGGUGAAAUGCGUAGAUAUCUGGAGGAACACCGGUGGCGAAGGCGGCAUCCUGGACCGGCACUGACGCUGAGGAGCGAAAGCCAGGGGAGCAAACGGG
Molecule: ribosomal RNA, 253 nt
Filed under: uncultured bacterium
Lineage: Bacteria
Description: partial 16S ribosomal RNA
Rfam family: Bacterial small subunit ribosomal RNA
Source: RNAcentral